CGGCUUUCCUUAGGAGAGCACCUCAUUCACCACAUUCAAUCUAAUGGGAGAUGACUGGAAGGAAAGGCCAUGUCCCAAAAGCCUGGACUUUGAGGCCCAGGGUGUCAGCAGAGACCAGAUUGGAAGUUCAAGCUAUGGCAAUCUGGGAGCCAAGAUCCCAGAUGGAUGGUACAGCCACUCAAUCCAGCAGGGAUGUCCUGAGAAGCCAUGGGACUUGGGCCUCAAGUUUGAGGGACUUUUGGACUUGGGAUGGAACUCUAAAGGAAUAGAGCUUUUCCUUUUUCCCAGUGACUGAGAUGGCACAAGGUGUGGGGGGGAGGGAGAAGAUUAUGCUUUAUACCCUUUGAACCAACUUCUACUGGGUCUGUAUCCCAAAGAGAUCAUAAAAAAGGGAAAAGGACUCACUUGUGCAAAAAUGUUUGAGCAGAUCUUUUUGUAGUGGCAAGAAUUGGGAAAUGAGUAAACACCUAUCAAUUGGGGAAUGGCUGAAUACUUUGUGGUAUAUGAAUAUCAUAGAAUAUUAUUGUUCUGUAAAAAAUGAUGAACAAAAGCCUAGAGAAGUUUACACAAACUGAUACUAAGGAAAACAAGCAGAACCAGAAAUACAUUAUACACAAUACCAGCAAGAAUGCGAUGAUCAACUAUGAAAGGCUUGGUUCUUCUCAGUAGUUCGGUGAUCCAAAGCAAUCCCAAUAAACUCUGGGUAGAAUAUGACAUCCACAUCCAGAGAGAGCGUAUGGAGAUUGAAUGUCUAUCAACACAUAAUAUGUUCACUUUUUUACCUUUUCUUCUGUUUUCUUUUUCUCUCAUGGUUUUUCUCUUUCUUUCUGAUUUUUCUCUCCUAACAUGAUUCAUAAGGAAAUAUGUUUUUAAAUGAAUGUAAAUAAUUUUUAAAAGAAAAAAUCAUGCUUCCCAGGGAUUAUGGAAGUAAGCUUAUAUAUUCAUGAUUAUAGUUUUGAGAUGAUUAUUUUGUAAGCCAAUCUGACUGUUGGUGUCUAAAUAGAACUGGGGUAUAGGGGACUAUUCCUAAAACUGAGGAAACAGUAUUGUAGGGACUAAAAUCAUUGUCAGCCUAGAUACCUAUCAUCUCUAUAAAGCAUACAAGAGAACCCUGAGUUUGAGGUGAAACCUUCUACAAAAUGAUAACCAAGGCUACAAAGAUAGUUUUGUUAGGAAGGUACUAGAAUCUAGGAGUAGCAGAAAAGUUUCAUUUAUAGUAGAUGGCACAUGAAUAGAGACUUGAAGAAAACUAUAAUAUAAAAUAUAAAGAGAAUGAGGUAAGAAAGUAAUGGAUUCUGAACAAAUGCAGAUAGAGAUGGGAGAGACAAUGAUGGGUAGUUAACUAUGAGUGGAUUGUAGUGUGUGUUUGCAGAAGAAUAAUGCAUAAAAAUAUCAUAAAGGUAGUUUGGGGAUAGGCUUAAAUGCUGCACAUAAGAGUUUGUACUUGAUCCUAGAGAUAAUAGGGAGCCAUUGGAACUUAUUUUGCAACAUGCUCAGACAAUGCUUUAGGAAAAUUAGGAAAUAGUUUCAAUAGUCCCCUGAGUGAUGAGGAAAAACUGAACUGAAAUGGUGGCUGUAUGGACAGUGAGAAGAGCAGGAAUGUAAGAGAUGGUAGAGACAAUAGGAUUUGGCAGUUGAUAGUGACUGUACGAACAGUGAGAAGAGCAGGAAUGUAAGAGACGGCAGAAACAAUAGGAUUUGACAGUUGAUGGUAUAUGUGAGAUGAGUGAAAGUGAAUUGUUGAGGAUGACACUUAGGUUGCAAACCUGGGUCCCUGGAAGGGUAUCCACAGAGACUUAUGGAACUUUCUUUAAAGUCAGACUAUUUCCUGACUUGGCACGCCCCAUUGUGUACUCCCCUUUUCAAUUCUCAGAAUUAUUCUUUUGCUUUUAAUCACCCUCCUCUAUCUAUUCCUGGAACUAUUUCUUUCAAUGCUUGUAUAAUAAAUCCAAUCCCAUUAAGAUCACUAUUCCCAGAAAAAUAAUGCUUACCCUGCUUCCCAUGCCAUUCUAAUUUUGUGCUUUAAUUAUUUGCUGUACUUUAGUGUUGAUCAACUUUUUUGGAGCAUUAUCUCAAGGACACGCCCUAAUCUAAAAGACCUCAAAACAUUCUGUAAUGCUUGCGUAUGAUUGGAUUGUUGUGUAAUAUUGAAGGUUGAUUGGUCUAAGACUUGAGUUUUGUGACUCAUGUUACUAUAAACUACACAAAUGCCCACACUUACAGUCACCUUGUCUUAAAAGAGGUCUUGAACAAAGUUAAGAGAAGAAAAGAGUCUCCAGUGGUAGCCAGCUGUAUCACAAUUGAGAAUAUAACACCAUCAAGAGCAGUAAUAUUGCAUCUUUUAGUUAUCCAAAUGUGAAGGUUGCCUGAAGUGAAGUAUAUAACAUGUUUUUGUUGGAGCCUAUAAAACAUCCUUGGUCAACUGAGUGGUGAAUGUUAACUCUGUCCUUGGAUCAGACUUAAAUUAGAAUACAAAGUCUUAAACUAGCAUACUUCCCAGGACCAUGUUUUUCAUUUUCCAUAAUCCAAGCUAAUAAAUUUGAUAAAUGAAUUGGUGCUGAAGUAUAAAGAGAUACUAAUAGGUUGAAUCUGAUGCCCCUCAGAUAAUAUAUUUGCAUUUCCUCAGGAGUCUAUUAAUCUAUUUAGAUUCUAAUGGGUGAUUAAUAUUAGAGGCAUAAUACUUUGGUACUGUUCUUUGCAUUUGCUUUUAAAUAUAAAAUUCCUGUCAAUAGGGGAGAAGGAGUGAUGUAGAAAUAUCAGUCGAUAUUAUUAGGACAAUGGAAGUGAUGUUUUUAUAAGAAAAAAAAAAACCAACUUUGAUGAGUUGUACAGUCCACCUUAGCAACUGUCAUAGGCAGAAAGAUGUAAGUUCUAUCCCUCCUGUUGUGAAUCAUAUUGUAAUAAUCCUUCCUGACUACAGUAUGAUUGUGUGGAAUAUUCUACAAUCUCUCUUACUAAAAUCAAGGUUUAUCAACUAUCCCAGUAGAAAGAUCUUCCUAAUAUCCCUAUCAAUUUAAGUAAAAUUUGUUUACUUUUAUUUUGUUCUCAGAAAGAUGUAGGAAAAAGCCAACAAAAAACUUUGGGCCUUCUCAGUAGGGCUAUGAGCCAUCCCCAGUCUCUUCUCCCUUCAUUACUUACAAUACAAAAUCCCUGCCCCUAAGUAUCCUCUUUUUUUAAGAUAAAUAAAUCUUGUAUUUGAGUCCUUCUUUCUAAAUUUUAUUUUCCUAUUUUUAUCUCUUUAAAUGAGAGGCAGCAUGCUGUGGUAAAUAGAGGGAUGGCUUUUGAUAGAGAAUGACCUGGAUUCGAAUUCUACUUCUAAUAUAUACUAGCUGAAUGAUCAUAGAGAAGUCAUAUAUCAAGUCAACUACCUACGGUCAUUAUCCACAAGAACACUUAAGGAAUUCCCUCUACUUCUAUUCAAUCAACUUGUUUUCCUCAUUCUUGGGUAAUUAAGUAGUGCAGUGGAUAGAGUAUCAGACUUGAAAUCAGAAAAACUCAUCUCCCUGAGUUCAAAUUUGGCAUGAGACACUUGCUAGUUGUGUGGCCCUAGCCAUUUAACCCUGUUUGUCUCAGUUUCCUCAUCUGUAAAAGGAGCUGAAUAAGGAAAUGAUAAACCACUCCAGUUUCCUUGCCAAGAAAAUCCCAAAUAAUAUCAUGAAGAGUUGGACACAACUGAAAGGAAUGAAUAACUCCCCUCCUCUGAAGAAUAAUAUAUGUAUAGAUAAUCCUUUGCUCCUAACUCUGCUAGGAAAUCACUUUGUUACUUUAGACAAAAUACUUUUUCUCUUGAGUUUUCAUUUCCUCAUCUUUUAAAAUUAUUGAUUUGAACUAGAUAGUCUCUUAGAUGCCCCCCAGUUCUAAUCCUGUGACUAAGUCUAUAACACUGUGGAUUGACUUGGGCAAAAUGUUGGCUUCUGUCUAAAUUUAAUUAUCAUUUGAACACUCUCAUAGUGGUAGUUGGGUUUUGAUCAUUAAAUAAGAACUAAUUUUGCUAUCAGCUGAUUUUUGAUCAUGAAAUAUAAAUUGACUGAAACAUAAAUAGUUUAAGGAAAGGGCACAGUAAUGAACACAGAAUAGAAAGUCAACUCUUUUUGUAAAAAGUUAACAUAUACAUCACAAAGCUCUAAAUAAAUUUAGAAUGGCUUAAUACCACUUCUUGGUGUAAAAGAACAAUGGUAAAAUAUGUUGAUAUGUCCUUGAGACUUCUCUGUAGUACUAGAAUCGAGAACCAGUCUCUUCUCCCUUAGUUACUUGUAACACAAAAUUCUUACUCCUGAGUCUUUUCUUUUGUAGGAUAAACUCUUUACUUUAGUCCCUAACUUUUAUUAUUAUAUAAAUGAACAUCAUCAACAAUGUUUUAUGUGUGUGUGUGUGUGUGUGUGUGUGUGUGUGUGUGCAUGUAUUUAACAAAUCUGAAUACUAACUACAAAGGACUUUUAAUAAAUUACUUGUAUAUUAUUGCUCAACUUCUAUUACUUCAGUAUUAUUUUAAAUGUUUUGCUGAUGAUUCUCUUUGGGUGUGUUUCUGUCUGUCUCUCUGUGUGUCAGUUGCAAAUGAUUCCCAUUUCAAAACCAAUGGAACAUUCCUUUGUAACAAAGAAAUAUAUUUUAAGAAAAAACACCAACACCAAUACAUUUACCAUGCAUGAAAAUAUGCUUCAUUGCAUAUUAUAGUCUAUGUCUCUAAUAAGAGAAGACAAGUCUACUUUACAAGCCUUUUGAAGUCAUGAUUAAUCACAGCAUUGAUCAAAUUUCUGAUGUCCUUUGAUGUUGUUUUUACCUUAUAUUAUUGUGGUCAUCCUUUCAAUUAUUCUCCUGCUUCUGCCUACUUUGCUCUUCAUCAGUUCGUAUAAGUCUUCCUAAGUUCCUCUAAAUUCUUCCUAUCCAAUGUUUUCAUUGGAGCAAUAAUAUUCCAUUACAUUCAUAUGCCAAAUUUAUUCAACUAUUCUCCAAUUGAUGGGCACUCUCUUUGCUUUCAGUUCUUUGCUACUGCAAAAAGAAAUCUAAUAAAUAAGAUUGUGCAGGUAAACACUGUCUUGCAAAGGAAUACAUACAAUGUAUAACACUCUUUUAAGUUUAAUCUAUAUUAACAUUUUCUCCUCACUUUCUUAACUCUAGACAAUUUACAAAACAAUAAAACCCAGAUCUGAAGCAUUUGCCUAUUUCUGAGGUACAUAAACAAAACCAAUACAAUCAGGAUUAGAAAGAAAGUUCAAAGGUAGGAAACAAUUUUACAGCAAGUGUUUCUGAUAAAUAUAUAGAGAACUGAGUCAAAUUUGUAAGAAUACAAGUCAUUUCCCAAUUGACAAAUGGUUAAAGAAUAUGAACAAGCAAGACCAUAAAAAUGAUCUAAAUCAUUACUGAUUAGGGAAAUGCUGAUUAAAACAAAUUUAAGAUACUACUUCAUGCCCAUCAGACUAAUAUGACAGUAAAGGUGGGAAAAUUGGGAUGUUAGUGCAAUGCUGGUGGAGUUAUCAACUGAUCUGACCAUUCUGAAGAGUAAUUUGGAACUAUGUCCAAAGGGCAAUCAAAUUGUGCAUAUCCAUUGAUUCAACAAUACCACUACUGCUAGGUCUGUAUCACAAAGAGAUAAAAGAAAAGAGACAAGGACAUACAUGUGUGUGAAGACCGCGUAUUUUAAAAUCAGCUGGAGUCAGGAAUUCAGGUUAGGGGGAAAUCGUCAGUCUUUAUUCUCAGUGAAGAAAGACCGGAGGUGGAAGAGAAUGAGCAAUGGCAAUAUGUGUAGCUGAGUCAAGAAGCUAGCUAGACCAGCAGCUACGAGCAUGGAACCCAGGCUCAAUCUCUCCCAGCUUCUCUUCCUGUCCCUCUGCCUCCACCCACCAAAAUCGUCAUUUCCUAUACAACACAUUAGGACUGGCACGGAGAAUGGGCGGGGGCCAUUCUUUAUCCAAUCAUGUAUAUUAAUAGAGUAUAGUCCAAUUACUAUUUAGCCUCACGUGCUUGGGACCUCAGUGCAUCAACUCAAGCCUCAGCCCAUUACACAUGUGCAAAAAUAUUUAUAGCAGCUCUUUUUGUGAUGGAAAAAAAGUAGAAAUUGAGAGGAUCCCCUUCAACUGUGAGAUGGUUGAACAAGUUAUAGUAUAUAAACAUUGUGCUAUAAAAAUUGAUGAGCAGGCAGAUUUCAGAAAAACCUGAGAAGAAUUAACGUGAACUGAUGCUAAGUGAAGCAAAGCCAGGAGCACGUUGUACACAAUUACAGCAACACUGUGUGAUGAUCAACUAUAAUUGACUUAGCUCUUCUUAACAAUAUAAUGAUUCAAGAUGCAGAUUACCAUCUAUUUGGGUAAAAUAUGCGUUGAUUUUUCUUACUGUUGUUGCUAAUUUUUUUGUAUUCAGAAUAAUGUUUUACUGUGUCAGUUUUGAAUUUGUUAUCAUGACAAGUAAUUUAAUACUCAGGUUUAACUUCACUUCAGAUGUUUCCAUUUAUUGUAACUAGUUGGAAGUAAAAAUGAGCCAGAGAAAUAAGAUAUUAUUGAAAAAUUCAUUCACAAGUCCACUUGCUAGUAUCCCAAAGAAAUGAAAAAUAAAAUAAAUUUUCUAUAUAUAACAUAAUAAUCAUAAAGUCAUUUCUUGCAGUAACAAAGAGCUAAAAACAAAAUACUUACCCAUUGAUUAGAAAAUAACUAAAUAAGUUUUUGGUACAUCAAUAUAAAAAAAAUUACAAUGCUACAAGAAAGAAUGAAUAUGAUGAAUACAGAAGAACAUGAGGAGAUAUAUUAGCUGAUGCUAAGUGAUGUAAUCAGAUCCAGAGAUACAACAUAUACUAUGAUCACAAACAACACUUGUAAAUAGGAGCAACAACUACUAUAACAUCAAAAUAGAAAGUGAAUGGUGAUACAACGAAUGGAGAGAACCCUGGACCUAGAAUCAGGAAAAACUGAGUUAAAACUCAGUUUCAGAUGCUAACUCAGUGACCUUGAGCAAAUAACUUAACCUCUUUCUGCCUCAGUUUCUCCUUCUGUAAAAAAAAACUUCCAAGC
Molecule: long non-coding RNA, 7001 nt
Filed under: Sarcophilus harrisii (Tasmanian devil)
Lineage: Eukaryota; Metazoa; Chordata; Mammalia; Dasyuromorphia; Dasyuridae
Description: lncRNA (ENSSHAG00000031103.1)
Source: RNAcentral